RNAcentral lists this ribosomal RNA (385 nucleotides) under uncultured bacterium. RNAcentral's name for it is "bacterial SSU rRNA". It matches the Rfam family "Bacterial small subunit ribosomal RNA", at positions 31 to 415 of the family's 1533-position model. The record is from RNAcentral.
GAACGCUAGCGGCAGGCCUAAUACAUGCAAGUCGGACGGGAUUUGGGAGCUUGCUCCCGAUGAGAGUGGCGCACGGGUGCGUAACACGUAUGUAACCUACCUUUGUCAGGGGGAUAGCCUCUCGAAAGAGAGAUUAAGCCCGCAUAACAUCAGAAUGUGGCAUCACAAACUGAUCAAAUAUUUAUAGGACAAAGAUGGGCAUGCGGAACAUUAGCUAGUUGGUAAGGUAACGGCUUACCAAGGCUACGAUGUUUAGGGGAUCUGAGAGGAUGACCCCCCACACUGGUACUGAGACACGGACCAGACUCCUACGGGAGGCAGCAGUAAGGAAUAUUGGUCAAUGGGCGGAAGCCUGAACCAGCCAUGCCGCGUGCAGGAAGACGGC